This 2885-nucleotide ribosomal RNA is filed under the name human oral metagenome. RNAcentral's name for it is "bacterial LSU rRNA". It matches the Rfam family "Bacterial large subunit ribosomal RNA". The record is from RNAcentral.
UUAAGCUACUAAGAGCGUAGGGGGAAUGCCUUGGCACCAAGAGCCGAUGAAGGACGUGAUAAGCUGCGAAAAGCUACGGGGAGGAGCACAUAUCCAAAGAGCCGUAGAUAUCCGAAUGAGGGAACUCAAUCUAGGUAAAUGCUAGAUUAUCAUCACAUGAGUAAAGUAGUGUGAUAGAGGGGAACAUGGGGAACUGAAACAUCUUAGUACCCAUAGGAAGAGAAAAUAAAAAUGAUUCCGUAAGUAGUGGCGAGCGAAAGCGGAAAAGCCCAAACCUGAGUGAGCAAUCACUAACAGGGGUUAGGACAUGCAACAAAUUCCAAGAAAGAGUGUAGUAGAAGUGUUUUGGGAAAGCACACCAAAGAGAGUGAAAGUCUCGUAUACGAAACACGAAAGAAGGAAGAGUAUGAUCCAGAGUAAGACAGGACACGAGAAAUCCUGUGUGAAUGAGCGGGGACCAUCCCGUAAGGCUAAAUACUACUUGGUGACCGAUAGUGAAAUAGUACCGUGAGGGAAAGGUGAAAAGAACCCCGGGAGGGGAAUGAAAUAGAAUCUGAAACCCUAUGCUUACAAGCAGAUAGAGCACGUUAAAGUGUGAUAUCGUACUUUUUGCAGAACGGUCCGGCGAGUUACUGUAUAUGGCAAGGAGAAGAGUUUAAGACUAAUAUCCGAAGCGAAAGCGAGUCUGAAUAGGGCGAAGUUAAGUCAUAUGUAGUAGACCCGAAACCGAGUGACCUAUCCAUGUCCAGGAUGAAGCUAGAGUGAAAUCUAGUGGAGGUCCGCACCAGUAGACGUUGAAAAGUCUUUGGAUGAGGUGUGGAUAGCGGAGAAAUUCUAAUCGAACUCGGAUAUAGCUGGUUCUCCUCGAAAUAGCUUUAGGGCUAGCCUUGAACAAAAACCGUAUGGGGGUAGAGCACUGAAUGAGCUAGGGGCCAAACAAAGGUUACCAAACUUUAUCAAACUGCGAAUACCAUAAGGGAAGUUCAGGAGUCAGACUACGGGAGCUAAGUUCCGUGGUCAAAAGGGAAAGAGCCCAGACCGUCAAUUAAGGUCCCUAAGAUAUAACUAAGUGGAAAACGAUGUGAUUUUGCGCAGACAACCAGGAUGUUGGCUUAGAAGCAGCCAUUCAUUUAAAGAGUGCGUAAUAGCUCACUGGUCGAGUGAAGUUGCGCGGAAAAUUACCGGGGCUAAGUUAUACACCGAAAUUGCGGAUUCAUUAAGAAAUUAAUGAGUGGUAGAGGAGCGUUCUAUACAGGAUGAAGUAUGAUCGAGAGGACAUAUGGACAGUAUAGAAGAGAGAAUGCCGGAAUGAGUAGCGAGAGCAAAGUGAGAAUCUUUGCCGUCGAAAAUCUAAGGUUUCCUGGGGAAGGUUCGUCCGCCCAGGGUAAGUCGGGACCUAAGGUGAGGCCGAAGGGCGUAGCCGAUGGACAGCAGGUUAAGAUUCCUGCACCAGUAUACAUGUAUAAUGCAUAAGAGGACACAUUUGAAGAAGAUGAGCGAGGAAGAGGAAAAACUCGUAUGGCAACAUAUAGUGAAAUUAAGUAACGAAUCAUCAAGAGGCAAGUGGCGAGAAAAGUCUUAUGUAGUUGUGUAGACUGCCCGUACCGCAAACCGACACAGGUAGAUGAGGAGAGGAUCCUAAGACGAGCGGGAGAAGCAUUGUUAAGGAACUCGGCAAAUUGACCCCGUAACUUAGGGAUAAGGGGUGCUGGUGUAAAAACCAGUCGCAGUAAAUAGGCCCAAGCAACUGUUUAACAAAAACACAGGUUUCUGCUAAAUCGCAAGAUGAAGUAUAGGAGCUGACUCCUGCCCAGUGCUGGAAGGUUAAGGGGAAAGGUUAGGAAUAAUUCAUUAUAUCCGAAGCUUUGAACUCAAGCCCCAGUGAACGGCGGCCGUAACUAUAACGGUCCUAAGGUAGCGAAAUUCCUUGUCAGGUAAGUUCUGACCCGCACGAAAGGAGUAAUGAUUUGGGCACUGUCUCAACAAUGUACCCGGCGAAAUUGUAGUACUAGUGAAGAUGCUAGUUACCUGCGACAAGACGGAAAGACCCCAUGGAGCUUUACUAUAGCCUGAUAUUGGGCUUUGGUAUCUUAUGUACAGGAUAGGUGGGAGACUAUGAGAUUAAGACGCAAGUCUUAAAGGAGUCAACCUUGGAAUACCACCCUUAAGAUAUUAGAGUUCUAACUUGUGAUCAUAAACUGGUCAGAGGACAUUGUCAGGUGGGUAGUUUGACUGGGGCGGUCACCUCCUAAAGAGUAACGGAGGUGCGCAAAGGUUUCCUCGGCACGGUCAGAAAUCGUGCUAAUGAGUGUAAAGGCAUAAGGAAGCUUAACUGAGAGAGAGACAUCUCGAGCAGAUACGAAAGUAGGUCUUAGUGAUCCGGUGGUAGAAAAUGGAAUUGCCAUCGCUCAACGGAUAAAAGUUACCCUGGGGAUAACAGGCUUAUCUCCCCCAAGAGUUCACAUCGACGGGGAGGUUUGGCACCUCGAUGUCGGCUCAUCGCAUCCUGGGGCUGAAGUCGGUCCCAAGGGUUGGGCUGUUCGCCCAUUAAAGCGGUACGCGAGCUGGGUUCAGAACGUCGUGAGACAGUUCGGUCCCUAUCUGUCGCAGGCGCAGGAUAUUUGAAAGGAGCUGUCCUUAGUACGAGAGGACCAGGAUGGACAUACCAAUGGUGCAACAGUUGUCACACCAGUGGCACAGCUGUGUAGCUAAGUAUGGAAGGGAUAAACGCUGAAAGCAUCUAAGCGUGAAGCCCCCCUUAAGAUAAGAUAUCCCACAACGUCAAGUUGGUAAGAUUCCAGUAAGACUAACUGGUUGAUAGGUUAGAGGUGUAAAUGUGGUGACACAUUUAGCUGACUAAUACUAAUAAUCGAGGGCUUAACCAA